ACAGCGACAGAGCAUAACAUGUCAGUGAAAAGACUUCGCUCAGCUGAUGUACCGAGUUUCUAAACUUAGCACUUGGCCAUUAACAUUACAGUGUAUUCUGGCAGGAACUAAAUGGAGGCAGGAACUUCCGGACAGGAGGUACAUAACAAAUCGCUUGUUGGCUGAUCAGAGAAUGAAGAUGGUUCACACAGGACAGGAAACGGACUGCAGGAAAAAGGAAGAAGGAAGAGCUGCAGAAUCCUUGUGCUACAAACUGGAGAAAAGUGCAAUGCCGUGAUGAUCACAGAUGGAGACUGGAGUUGUUCUGUUAUUAGUACGAAAUCUUUAUGUUCUUUUUGCUCCCAAACAUUCCCGAUGUGGUUUUGGAUUCUUGCAUGAGCUGUGCAUUAGAAGAGAUAUGGUUAAAACAACCUAUGGCCAGAAGAAACUCCAGUUUCUCCACUUUAAAUCAGAGAGGCAUCUAGCUACUGUUGGAGGAACAUAUAGGAGUGGACAACCUCUGCUGCACAUAUAAUUCGCAAAACAGGUCAGAAACGAAUUUCAGAUGUUACAACUUGCUCAAACUAUUUCUUAUUCCCACAAUAUGAAACUAAGCAAUGUUUGAAAUGAAGUCCGAAUUGCAUAAAACGAAUAAAUGAAAAGAAAUUACCACAUUUUUCACAAAGCACAUAUUUUUCGUAUUAGAUAAAGCUAUCCAAGUUAUCCAAAGUGUAUGAAGUGUUCGCGUUUGUGCAGUAUUACAGUACAGUUAUUUCACAAAGUACAGCCAUAUCCGAACAUAUUUUGCAAAGUACUUAUUUUGAAGAGUUUAUUGUGCGAAUGUUAUUACAAGCUGCAGUGAAAGAGCUUAUUUGUGUAUAAUUACAAGAGCCAUAUUUUUAGUAUGUUUGUGCAGAAUUUGUUGGCAUGGCAGACAGAUUCCAAAACCCUGAGUGCUUAAAACAUAAAUUUAGAGA
This is a long non-coding RNA of Protopterus annectens (West African lungfish), 956 nucleotides long. RefSeq lists it as uncharacterized. The record is from RefSeq and is a predicted model, not a curated record. NCBI's taxonomy places the organism in Eukaryota, Metazoa, Chordata, Ceratodontiformes, Protopteridae. The transcript is spliced from 3 exons.